AAUAUUCGACAAUGGGCGUAAGCCUGAUCCAGCCACGUCGCUUGUGUGAAGCAGGUCUUCGGAUUGUAUAUCACUUUAAGUUGGGACGAAGGGCCGUAAGUUAAUACCUUGCUGGUUUGACGUUACCGACAGAUGAAGCACCGGCUACCUUCGUGCCAGCAGCCGCGGUAAUACGAAGGGUGCAAGCGUUAAUCGGAAUUACUGGGCGUAAAGCGCGCGUAGGUGGUUCGUUAAGUUGGAUGUGAAAGGCCCGGGCUCAACCUGGGAACUGCAUCGAAAACUGGCGAGCUAGAGUACGGUAGAGGGUGGUGGAAUUUCCUGUGUAGCGGUGAAAUGCGUAGAUAUAGGAAGGAACACCAGUGGCGAAGGCGACCACCUGGACUGAUACUGACACUGAGGUGCGAAAGCGUGGGGAGCAAACAGG
Molecule: ribosomal RNA, 424 nt
Filed under: uncultured bacterium
Lineage: Bacteria
Description: partial 16S ribosomal RNA
Rfam family: Bacterial small subunit ribosomal RNA
Source: RNAcentral